RNAcentral lists this ribosomal RNA (119 nucleotides) under Ricinus communis (castor bean). Lineage: Eukaryota; Viridiplantae; Streptophyta; Magnoliopsida; Malpighiales; Euphorbiaceae. The record is from RNAcentral.
GUCUGCGAUCAUACCAGCACUAAUACACCGGAUCCCAUCAGAACUCCGAAGUUAAACGUGCUUGGGCGAGAGUAGUACUAAGAUGGGUGACCUCUUGGGAAGUCCUCGUGUUGCACCCC